CCCCAGCUCUGUUCCCUGCCCUGGACACGCUCCAGCCCCUCCAGGUCUCUCUUUUUGGGAGAGGCCCAGAGCUGUCCCACACUGGAGGUGUCCCAGCAGUGCCACCUCAGGGGACGGGCACUGCCCUGGGCCUGUGCCCACGCUGCUGUACUGACCACAUGAGACAAAUGUGCAUAAAAAGGAAUUGAAACUGCAAAACAUGGAAAGGAGACAGACACUAGUGAAAUUCCAAUGUGGGAAUGACAAUAUUACUUCAAAUUUGCUAUAGUAUAAGUUGCCUGAUUUUUCUAGAACUGAAACAACUAUCAGUCAGACAAAAGAUGAACCAAUUAAAUACUUGUGAGUGGUGAGUACACAUUUAUGCAGCAGGGAAACGCUCAGCUCCUCAGUGCAGCCCUGCCAGGGACUCCUUUGGCUCGCUGCACAUGCUGGGUAUCAAGCCUGGGGUUAUAAAUAUCUCUAAUGGACUUAGCAACAGGUACCUACAAUCCUCUCAGAGCCAGGAGUUUGCUUUCCUAGCCCUGGAUCCAGUUGGUGGGAGAGUUUUUAUUGAAUUACAGUCGUGGUUCUUUCCCGAACCAGGCUACAAAACGCAGUCAAAAUAAUCAAGUCUAAACAUGUAGGAGAAUUUCCUUCCUCAGACCUGUGGGGUUUGGAUUUCCCCAGCACGUGCCACCCCUUGGUUGACCAAGGACCUGAGGCCGGGCUGGCACUGCCACCUCCACUGGCUCAGGAAAACCAGCUCCCAAAACCCCUUCUCUCUUCAGUUACUUCUACACUUAGAGUGAACCCAGAAAGAGUGGGGGGAAAAAGGGAAAAAACCUUGUUCUUCAAGAGAGAAUUACAUGGCAAAGAAGGACCAAAAGGAAUAUCCACUCAAUAAUUUGUGGGACAGGAAAAUAAAAUGUAGGAGCUCUUAAAAAGCAUCAGCUGAAGGAGCUAUGGCUGUAAUAAAUUCCAUUUUCCUGAGUCCAGACACUCCAAGUGUCAGGCUCCCUACCUUGAUAAUACUGUUGUUAUUCCAUGGCCCAGGUACACUGUACUUACAGGAAAGAAAUUCCUGUGAAUGACUCAUAUUUCACACUGAGAGCACACCUCCAAGGAAUCUGCACUUAGGGAUGCUUUAUUUCCCACCACAUAUGACACUGCUGUUUUCUCUACUUUCCCCCAAACUAUUAAAAGGAAAAUUAGGUGAGGCACAUCUAAUUACAGGGUUUAGGGCUUUCUGAUACAGGGAAAGGUUGAAGAUGGUAAAAGAACAAUGGUGAAGAACAAUAGGAAGAGAUUAGUGACAAGAAAAUUCAAAACUCUGGUGUUGAACAAUUUCUCCAUUCAGUUUGGCACUCAGGAAUAACACUGAACUGCCACCACAGAAAUCAAUCUGUCCCAAGCCUCCACACCACAGCAGCUCCAGAGCAUUCAGACAACUGGAACAUGUCCGGAGUGUGACUUUGGUGACAGCAACCCAGGAGACAAGUCACGCCAGAGGUGUUUUGUCAGCACGUUUCAAGGCUGCGAUGUGACCCAGAUUUCAGGGUGAGAAGCAGCCCAAGGAGGAGGUGUGCUCCAGAGCUGGCUGGGAUCCAUCCCCACGGUGCUGGGAUGCUUUCAGGAAAGCCAGAGCCCGAGCUGGGGACAGCCCUGAGCCCCACGGGAAGGAGGGACAGGCGGGCAGGGCUGUGGGCACACAGCAGCCAUGGCCCCCAAAGCCAAGGGCAAGGAUGGGCAGAAAAGUACAGCCAUUUCAUGUCACUCCAGCAGAUGUAUUUCAUAUUUUCCAGUGUGCUGCUCUACUUGUCACUCUUCUCCAAUCUUUAGGCAUGUUUUUCUGCCACUGCAGAACUGAGAGAGCAAUAA
This is a long non-coding RNA of Vidua chalybeata, 1857 nucleotides long. RefSeq lists it as uncharacterized. Lineage: Eukaryota; Metazoa; Chordata; Aves; Passeriformes; Viduidae. The transcript is spliced from 3 exons. The record is from RefSeq and is a predicted model, not a curated record.